This 338-nucleotide ribosomal RNA is filed under the name Euconnus sp. RNAcentral describes it as "partial 12S ribosomal RNA". Lineage: Eukaryota; Metazoa; Arthropoda; Insecta; Coleoptera; Staphylinidae. The record is from RNAcentral.
UGAAUUAUUAAAAUAUUAUUUAUAUUCUUAUCUUUUUGGCGGUAUUUUAAUUUUUCAGAGGAACCUGUUUUAUAAUUGAUAUUACACGAUUUUAUUCACUUAUUUUAUUUAAUUUAUAUAUCAUUGUUUUUAAUUAUUUUAUAAGAAUAUUAUUAUAAUUAAAUUAAUUUUUAAGAAAAUCAGAUCAAGGUGUAGUUUAUAAAUAUGAAAAAAUGGGUUACAAUAAAUAUAUUUAUAUUUCUUAAUAGUUUUAAAUUAUUAUGAAAAUGGAUUUGAAAGUAAUAUUAUUUAAAUAAAUAGUAUGAUUAUUAAACUAAAAUAUGUACACGUCGCCCGUC